GCCAGGGAGGCACCCGCCGAGAAGGCCCUAGAUGCCGCCGCCCCUCGAACCGAAUGGGCCCCGAAACUAGCAUCUAUCCCGGCUAGGGACAAUAACCACCGUAUCCAUCUAGCUAAUGUAGUAGUGGUAACUGGUUUGUAUGGUCUGGUAUAUGAGAUUAACAGUUGUCCCGUUCCGUUAGCCCGAAGAGGCGCCGUAACCUCCACAUAACGGAGUAAGGUGGAGACGACACAAAGACGAGGAACCGCCGGAAAAAAGGGGUAGGACACGGAUUUGGAGUCCGUCUUAGUCCUUCGGGAUAUCAAAA
Pelobates cultripes (western spadefoot toad) is the source of this 307-nucleotide non-coding RNA. NCBI's taxonomy places the organism in Eukaryota, Metazoa, Chordata, Amphibia, Anura, Pelobatidae. The record is from the annotation of a GenBank genome assembly.